Molecule: transfer RNA, 74 nt
Filed under: Ictidomys tridecemlineatus (thirteen-lined ground squirrel)
Lineage: Eukaryota; Metazoa; Chordata; Mammalia; Rodentia; Sciuridae
Description: Spermophilus tridecemlineatus (thirteen-lined ground squirrel) tRNA
Rfam family: tRNA
About the family: Transfer RNA (tRNA) molecules are approximately 80 nucleotides in length. Their secondary structure includes four short double-helical elements and three loops (D, anti-codon, and T loops). Further hydrogen bonds mediate the characteristic L-shaped molecular structure. tRNAs have two regions of fundamental functional importance: the anti-codon, which is responsible for specific mRNA codon recognition, and the 3' end, to which the tRNAs corresponding amino acid is attached (by aminoacyl-tRNA synthetases). tRNAs cope with the degeneracy of the genetic code in two manners: having more than one tRNA (with a specific anti-codon) for a particular amino acid; and 'wobble' base-pairing, i.e. permitting non-standard base-pairing at the 3rd anti-codon position.
Source: Rfam by way of RNAcentral
GGGGGUAUAGCUCAGUUGGUUUGAGUGCUUGCCUCUUAUGCACAAAGACCUGAGUUCAAUCCCUAGCACCGCCC